GCCAGGCAUGGUGGCACAUGGCUAUAGUCCCAGCUACUCGGGAGGCUGAGAUGGGAGGAUCGCUUGAGCCCAGGAGUCCUGGGCUGUAGUGCGCUAUGCCAAUCUGGUGUCCGUACUAAGUUCGGCAUCAAUAUGGUGACCUCCCGGGAGCGGGGGACCACCAGGUUGCCUAAGGAGGGGUGAACUGGCCCAGGUCAGAAACGGAGCAGGUCAAAACUCCCGUGCUGAUCAGUAGUGGGAUCGCGCCUGUGAAUAGCCACUGUACUCCAGCCUUGGCAACAUAGCGAGACCCCGUCUCU
Molecule: signal recognition particle RNA, 299 nt
Filed under: Cebus imitator (Panamanian white-faced capuchin)
Lineage: Eukaryota; Metazoa; Chordata; Mammalia; Primates; Cebidae
Description: Metazoan signal recognition particle RNA (ENSCCAG00000013836.1)
Rfam family: Metazoan signal recognition particle RNA
About the family: The signal recognition particle (SRP) is a universally conserved ribonucleoprotein. It is involved in the co-translational targeting of proteins to membranes. The eukaryotic SRP consists of a 300-nucleotide 7S RNA and six proteins: SRPs 72, 68, 54, 19, 14, and 9.
Source: RNAcentral